UGGGGAAUUUUGGACAAUGGGCGAAAGCCUGAUCCAGCAAUGCCGCGUGUGUGAAGAAGGCCUUCGGGUUGUAAAGCACUUUUGUCCGGAAAGAAAUCCUUGGCUCUAAUACAGUCGGGGGAUGACGGUACCGGAAGAAUAAGCACCGGCUAACUACGUGCCAGCAGCCGCGGUAAUACGUAGGGUGCAAGCGUUAAUCGGAAUUACUGGGCGUAAAGUGUGCGCAGGCGGUUUGCUAAGACCGAUGUGAAAUCCCCGGGCUCAACCUGGGAACUGCAUUGGUGACUGGCAGGCUAGAGUAUGGCAGAGGGGGUAGAAUUCCACGUGUAGCAGUGAAAUGCGUAGAGAUGUGGAGGAAUACCGAUGGUGAAGGCAGCCCCCUGGGCCAAUACUGACGCUCAUGCACGAAAAGCGUGGGGGAGCAAAACAGGAUUAGAUACCCCUGGUAGUCCACGCCCUAAACGAUGUCAACUAGUUGUUGGGGAUUCAUUUCCUUAGUAACGUAGCUAACGCGUGAAGUUGACCGCCU
This 529-nucleotide ribosomal RNA is filed under the name uncultured bacterium. Its description in RNAcentral is "partial 16S ribosomal RNA". It matches the Rfam family "Bacterial small subunit ribosomal RNA", at positions 355 to 874 of the family's 1533-position model. The record is from RNAcentral.